RNAcentral lists this ribosomal RNA (601 nucleotides) under uncultured bacterium. Its description in RNAcentral is "bacterial SSU rRNA". It matches the Rfam family "Bacterial small subunit ribosomal RNA", at positions 732 to 1334 of the family's 1533-position model. The record is from RNAcentral.
CCACGCCACUGACGCUCAUGCACGAAAGCGUGGGUAUCGAACAGGAUUAGAUACCCUGGUAGUCCACGCGGUAAACGAUGAUAACUAGUUAUUCGCCCCGACUGGGGGGUGAGUGACCGAGCGAAAGCGUUAAGUUAUCCACCUGGGGAGUACGCCGGCAACGGUGAAACUCAAAGGAAUUGACGGGGGCCCGCACAAGCGGAGGAACAUGUGGUUUAAUUCGAUGAUACGCGAGGAACCUUACCCGGGCUCAAACGCAUCGUGCUACACCCUGAAAGGGGUGGUUCUUCGGACGCGAUGCGAGGUGCUGCAUGGUUGUCGUCAGCUCGUGCCGUGAGGUGUCGGCUUAAGUGCCAUAACGAGCGCAACCCCCAUCUUCAGUUGCCCCCGGGUGAAGCCGGGCACUCUGGAGAGACUGCCGGCGCAAGCUGUGAGGAAGGCGGGGAUGACGUCAAAUCAGCACGGCCCUUACGUCCGGGGCGACACACGUGUUACAAUGGCGGGGCUACAGAGGGGAGCCAGGCGGCGACGCCGAGCUGAUCCCGAAAACCCGUCUCAGUUCGGAUCGGAGUCUGCAACCCGACUCCGUGAAGCUGGAUCG